This 73-nucleotide transfer RNA is filed under the name Pseudomonadota bacterium. RNAcentral's name for it is "Proteobacteria bacterium tRNA-Ala". It matches the Rfam family "tRNA". From Rfam's summary of the family: Transfer RNA (tRNA) molecules are approximately 80 nucleotides in length. Their secondary structure includes four short double-helical elements and three loops (D, anti-codon, and T loops). RNAcentral also lists the same sequence under 1 other name. Lineage: Bacteria; Pseudomonadati; Pseudomonadota. The record is from RNAcentral.
GGGGGUGUGGCACAGUUGGUAGUGCAUCUGAAUGGCAUUCAGAGGGUCAGGGGUUCGAUUCCCCUCACCUCCA